GUGGUCAUCGUCGUCGUCGUUCUUAUUCACAGCAGAAAAUAGAUAAUCUCAUAGAGCGAUAAUCCAUAGUUUCAUCCAUCACCAUCAUUGAUGAGUGGAUGGGGGGCAGCGCCGAUUGCCGCCUCCUUUGCCAACGCCGAUGUGAGUGCAAGGAGAAGAAGCAGAUGGUGGAACAGGCCCCCGUGCCAUUACAACCGCCUCUUUGGAGCUGCUCUGAACCCUAGAACCUUCCACCGGAGCCAGGGUGAUCAGAAUCAGCCAGAGAUAGAGUGGUAUGGAGAUCCACUUCAUCACUUUCUUGAACGCAUUCAUGAUAGAAACUCGGUGCUAUACAUACAGAGUACCAGUGUUAUAUAGAAG
Molecule: long non-coding RNA, 360 nt
Filed under: Vitis vinifera (wine grape)
Lineage: Eukaryota; Viridiplantae; Streptophyta; Magnoliopsida; Vitales; Vitaceae
Description: long non-coding RNA (VVIN_LNC006412)
Source: RNAcentral